Molecule: ribosomal RNA, 454 nt
Filed under: uncultured bacterium
Lineage: Bacteria
Description: bacterial SSU rRNA
Rfam family: Bacterial small subunit ribosomal RNA
Source: RNAcentral
GAUGAACGCUGGCGGUAUGCUUAACACAUGCAAGUCGAACGGGCUUUUCGGAGCUAGUGGCGGACGGGUGAGUAACGCGUGAGAAUCUGGCUUCAGGUCGGGGACAACCACUGGAAACGGUGGCUAAUACCGGAUGUGCCGCAAGGUAAAAGGCUUGCCGCCUGAAGAUGAGCUCGCGUCUGAUUAGCUAGUAGGUGGGGUAAAAGCCUACCUAGGCGACGAUCAGUAGCUGGUCUGAGAGGAUGAUCAGCCACACUGGGACUGAGACACGGCCCAGACUCCUACGGGAGGCAGCAGUGGGGAAUUUUCCGCAAUGGGCGAAAGCCUGACGGAGCAAUACCGCGUGAGGGAGGAAGGCUCUUGGGUUGUAAACCUCUUUUCUCAGGGAAGAACACAAUGACGGUACCUGAGGAAUAAGCAUCGGCUAACUCCGUGCCAGCAGCCGCAGUAACAC